AUGGGACGAGGCAGAGUUUUGAGUUACUUUGCUCUCACAAUGUUCAUUCAAUAUUCCUGCAGUCAGACACUGAUUGAGAUAGAUUCAGUGAUCAUCAAACCUGAUCAGUCUCAUAAACUGACCUGCACAGCUUCUGGAUUUAACUUUGGGAGCUCCUGGAUGGCUUGGAUCAGACAGGCUCCUGAAAAAGGACUGGAAUUUGUUGCAACUAUCGAGGAUGAUAGUGAUAGGAAGUUUUUCUCCAGUGCAGUUAAUGGCCACUUCACCAUCUCCAGAGACAACAGUAAGAAGCAGGUGUAUCUGCACAUGAACAGCGUGAGGACAGAAGACACUGCAGUGUAUUACUGCGCCCGACACACACAGUGAUACUUAGGGUGACCAUUCGUCCGGAUUUCGUCCGGACAGUCCGGUUUUAGAGCCGUCUGUCCGGACGUCUGUCACGCGUCCUCACUUUUUACAUUUUGUCCUCAUUUCGGACCCUCAGCCGCCACCGUUGCAUCAAUCGUCACAAAUCCCCGCCCAUUAUUUACACUUGCUAUUCUGCAAUGACAUACAGGCAAAGAUAGC
This is a non-coding RNA of Neoarius graeffei (lesser salmon catfish), 567 nucleotides long. Lineage: Eukaryota; Metazoa; Chordata; Actinopteri; Siluriformes; Ariidae. The record is from the annotation of a RefSeq genome assembly.